Molecule: ribosomal RNA, 1662 nt
Filed under: Escherichia coli
Lineage: Bacteria; Pseudomonadati; Pseudomonadota; Gammaproteobacteria; Enterobacterales; Enterobacteriaceae
Description: partial 23S ribosomal RNA
Rfam family: Bacterial large subunit ribosomal RNA
Source: RNAcentral
CUGGAGGUAUCAGAAGUGCGAAUGCUGACAUAAGUAACGAUAAAGCGGGUGAAAAGCCCGCUCGCCGGAAGACCAAGGGUUCCUGUCCAACGUUAAUCGGGGCAGGGUGAGUCGACCCCUAAGGCGAGGCCGAAAGGCGUAGUCGAUGGGAAACAGGUUAAUAUUCCUGUACUUGGUGUUACUGCGAAGGGGGGACGGAGAAGGCUAUGUUGGCCGGGCGACGGUUGUCCCGGUUUAAGCGUGUAGGCUGGUUUUCCAGGCAAAUCCGGAAAAUCAAGGCUGAGGCGUGAUGACGAGGCACUACGGUGCUGAAGCAACAAAUGCCCUGCUUCCAGGAAAAGCCUCUAAGCAUCAGGUAACAUCAAAUCGUACCCCAAACCGACACAGGUGGUCAGGUAGAGAAUACCAAGGCGCUUGAGAGAACUCGGGUGAAGGAACUAGGCAAAAUGGUGCCGUAACUUCGGGAGAAGGCACGCUGAUAUGUAGGUGAAGUCCCUCGCGGAUGGAGCUGAAAUCAGUCGAAGAUACCAGCUGGCUGCAACUGUUUAUUAAAAACACAGCACUGUGCAAACACGAAAGUGGACGUAUACGGUGUGACGCCUGCCCGGUGCCGGAAGGUUAAUUGAUGGGGUUAGCGCAAGCGAAGCUCUUGAUCGAAGCCCCGGUAAACGGCGGCCGUAACUAUAACGGUCCUAAGGUAGCGAAAUUCCUUGUCGGGUAAGUUCCGACCUGCACGAAUGGCGUAAUGAUGGCCAGGCUGUCUCCACCCGAGACUCAGUGAAAUUGAACUCGCUGUGAAGAUGCAGUGUACCCGCGGCAAGACGGAAAGACCCCGUGAACCUUUACUAUAGCUUGACACUGAACAUUGAGCCUUGAUGUGUAGGAUAGGUGGGAGGCUUUGAAGUGUGGACGCCAGUCUGCAUGGAGCCGACCUUGAAAUACCACCCUUUAAUGUUUGAUGUUCUAACGUUGACCCGUAAUCCGGGUUGCGGACAGUGUCUGGUGGGUAGUUUGACUGGGGCGGUCUCCUCCUAAAGAGUAACGGAGGAGCACGAAGGUUGGCUAAUCCUGGUCGGACAUCAGGAGGUUAGUGCAAUGGCAUAAGCCAGCUUGACUGCGAGCGUGACGGCGCGAGCAGGUGCGAAAGCAGGUCAUAGUGAUCCGGUGGUUCUGAAUGGAAGGGCCAUCGCUCAACGGAUAAAAGGUACUCCGGGGAUAACAGGCUGAUACCGCCCAAGAGUUCAUAUCGACGGCGGUGUUUGGCACCUCGAUGUCGGCUCAUCACAUCCUGGGGCUGAAGUAGGUCCCAAGGGUAUGGCUGUUCGCCAUUUAAAGUGGUACGCGAGCUGGGUUUAGAACGUCGUGAGACAGUUCGGUCCCUAUCUGCCGUGGGCGCUGGAGAACUGAGGGGGGCUGCUCCUAGUACGAGAGGACCGGAGUGGACGCAUCACUGGUGUUCGGGUUGUCAUGCCAAUGGCACUGCCCGGUAGCUAAAUGCGGAAGAGAUAAGUGCUGAAAGCAUCUAAGCACGAAACUUGCCCCGAGAUGAGUUCUCCCUGACCCUUUAAGGGUCCUGAAGGAACGUUGAAGACGACGACGUUGAUAGGCCGGGUGUGUAAGCGCAGCGAUGCGUUGAGCUAACCGGUACUAAUGAACCGUGAG